GCAUCCAUGUUUUGUAAUUGGAAUGGACAGAUGUUAACCUUCUCUGUGAGUAUCAAUUGGAGGGCAAGUCUGGUGCCAGCAGCCGCGGUAAUUCCAGCUCCAAUAGCGUAUAUUAAAGUUGUUGCGGUUAAAAAGCUCGUAGUUGGAUUUCUGCUCAGGACGACCGGUCCGCCCUCUGGGUGAGUAUCUGGCUUGGCCUUGGCAUCUUCUUGGUGAACGUUGCUGCACUUGACUGUGUGGUGCGGUAUCCAGGACUUUUACUUUGAGGAAAUUAGAGUGUUUCAAGCAGGCACACGCCUUGAAUACAUUAGCAUGGAAUAAUAAGAUAGGACCUUGGUUUUAUUUUGUUGGUUUCUAGAGCUGAGGUAAUGAUUAAUAGGGAUAGUUGGGGGCAUUCGUAUUUAACUGUCAGAGGUGAAAUUCUUGGAUCUGUUAAAGACGGACUACUGCGAAAGCAUUUGCCAAGGAUGUUUUCAUUGAUCAAGAACGAAAGUUAGGGG
This 500-nucleotide ribosomal RNA is filed under the name uncultured dinoflagellate. Its description in RNAcentral is "SSU rRNA". It matches the Rfam family "Eukaryotic small subunit ribosomal RNA", at positions 492 to 996 of the family's 1831-position model. The record is from RNAcentral. Lineage: Eukaryota; Dinophyceae.